Callorhinus ursinus (northern fur seal) is the source of this 2436-nucleotide long non-coding RNA. RefSeq lists it as uncharacterized. NCBI's taxonomy places the organism in Eukaryota, Metazoa, Chordata, Mammalia, Carnivora, Otariidae. The record is from RefSeq and is a predicted model, not a curated record.
UCCACCCUCAUGAGUGGGAUUAGCCCUUAUAGAAGAGGCUCCCAGGGCUCCCUAAUCACUUUGGCCACAUGAGGACACAAGGAGAAAUCUGUGUAAGGCCCUCUCCCAACUGGGCUGGCUCACUGAUCUCAGACUCCAUCCUCCACAACUAUGAGCAAGAGCUUUCUUUUGUUUAUUAGCCACCCAGUCCGGGAUAUGUUGUUAUAACUGCAUGAAUGACUAAGACCGAUUAUAAUCGCUCAUAUAAAAUAAAUAUCUUUGAGCCCCUAUUGAUAUAAAUUAAUAACUGAAUAAAUUAAUAAAUUGAGGAGAAGAAAAAAUGUCCUGUGCAGAAAAGUCCCAAAUGGUCUAUGUGGAUAUUUCGCCCUAAGGAAGGGAUCUUAAUUGACCACUCCUGGAGUGUAGGCACUUGUCGUGACUCCCCUCCAAAGAGGACAGAGUGGAAAGGAGGAGAAAAGAGUAACUACAGAGGGGACACCUGACAAAUACAGUGCAGUCAGGUGAUCAUGAGUUCACCAAAAAUCAUAAACCACUGCCACAGUGUGGAUCCUGGAUUGAGGUGAUGAAAGGGGCACUUUUCCUCUGUGACCUUCCUCCCCAACCCCAUCACCUCAGUCUACUUAUGAGAUAAGGAUCCUACAGAUUGAAAUGAGGCACAUUCCAUGAUACAGGUGAGCAGCAGUCCUCAAAACUGUCAGGCCAUCACAAGUCAGGAAUGUCUGAGAAGGUGUCACCGCUGAGAGGAGCCUACAGAGACAUCACAAGUAAAUGUAAUGUGGUAUCCUGCAUGGAAUUCGGGAACAGAAAGGGACAUAGGGUAAAAACUAAGGAAAUCCUUUCAGGACCGAAUUUAUUUCUCCAAAGUUCAAAUGUUGAAAUCUGAAAUCCAGCGAGAUGGGAUUUGGAGGUGCGGUCUUUGCAGAUAAUGAGGUCAUGAGGGUGGAGUCCUCAGGAAUGGGAUCAUUGUCCUCACAAAAAGAGACAAGCCAGCCAGCUCACCCCAUCCACCAUGUGAGAAUACAUGUAGUUGGCAGUCUGCAAUUGUAAAGAGCAUUCUCAUCACAAUCCAAGCAUCCUGGCACCCUGAUCUCAGACUUCCAGCCUCUGGGACCUUGAGAAUUGGUAAUCUUGAAGAAAAAGCGUUGCAGUCCCAUGGUCCUCUCUUCUCAAUCACCUUCCACCGACAUGAUGGAGGCAGGGAGUGUCUUCUCUCCUCAGAACACAGAGUUGUGGGCCUCUCCAAGACAACACUCAGACAACACUCAACACCACAAUGAUGCCCAUCUCUUCUUCCCACCCUGCCCACCACUUUCAUCCCCGCUGUGGACUCUGCUUCUAGGAUUCACAGAUGCUACCUCUCAGUGGAGAAAAAGUGUUGGAUAACAUGAUAUUAUGAAGGAAGAAAAGAAUCCUCAAUGUUUCCAUCCAAACAUAAUCACUGUUAAAAAUUAGCACAGGUUUACAUGCUCAUGGAACAUUGGCUGGAAGUGGUCACUAAAGGUCUCUCUGGGCCAGUGAUGGAAACUGAACCCUGCACGGUCUCCAGAGAACUAAACAGUCCUGCCUCUGCUUGCUGAAAAAGCUAAACAAGCACGUGGAGUCUCUUCCCCAAGGCCACUGGUCCAUGUUGGCAGAGGCUCUGAGUCCCAGUUGCCAAAGCAGAAGGCUUGAGGGAUUCAGAUCAGAUGAAAGAGGAAGCCAAGACCAUUAUCUGAGUAAGGAAGGAGGAAGAAACCUUAGAUGAUUUAGAAAAGAGUAAAAACUUUUGAGACACCCAGACCCAUGGGAGCAUGUCAGCAAACAUUUACAGAAGAAUUCAUACCAAUUUUGUACAGUAUCUCCCAGAAAAUAGAGGAGGAAACACUUCCCUACUCAUUUGAUGAGGGCAUUAUUACCUUGAUAACAAAACCAGAUAGACUGUAUAUUAAAAAGAUACCUAGAAACCAAUACCUCUCAUGACUCUAAAUGUAAGAAUCCUCAUAAAAUUUUGUCAAAUAGACUUUCACAAUGUGUAGUUAUAUAACAUGACUAAGAAGUAUUUAUUGUGGGUAUGCAAAACUGUUUCACUGCUUAGCAAUCAAUUAUUGUAAUCUAUCACAUCAACAGGUUAAAAAAGAAAAAUUGCGUUAUCAUAUCAGUUGAUGCAGAAAAAGCAAGUGAGAAAUCUAAAACCUGUUCAUGAUGCAAACACUCAACAAACUAGACAUAGCAGAGAAUUUCCUCAAUUUGAUGAAGAACAUCUACAAAAAAAUCCCUGCAGCUAUCAUUAUACUUCACGGCAAAAGACCAAGUUUUUUAUUUUUCCUAAGAUAAGGACUGAGGCAAAGAUGUCCCUUCUCAGAACUCUUAUUCAACAUAGGACUAGAAAUUGUAGGCGAGAGAAGGACAGGAAGAAAGGAAGGAAAGUGAAGGAAUGGAAAGGAAAGGAAUGUACAU